GACGAACGCUGGCGGCGUGCCUAAUACAUGCAAGUAGAACGCUGAAGAGAGGAGCUUACUCUUCUUGGAUGAGUUGCGAACGGGUGAGUAACGCGUAGGUAACCUGCCUUGUAGCGGGGGAUAACUAUUGGAAACGAUAGCUAAUACCGCAUAACAAUGGAUGACACAUGUCAUUUAUUUGAAAGGGGCAAUUGCUCCACUACAAGAUGGACCUGCGUUGUAUUAGCUAGUAGGUGAGGUAAUGGCUCACCUAGGCGACGAUACAUAGCCGACCUGAGAGGGUGAUCGGCCACACUGGGACUGAGACACGGCCCAGACUCCUACGGGAGGCAGCAGUAGGGAAUCUUCGGCAAUGGGGGCAACCCUGACCGAGCAACGCCGCGUGAGUGAAGAAGGUUUUCGGAUCGUAAAGUUCUGUUGUAAGUCAAGAACGGGUGUGAGAGUGGAAAGUUCACACUGUGACGGUAGCUUACCAGAAAGGGACGGCUAACUACGU
Molecule: ribosomal RNA, 496 nt
Filed under: uncultured bacterium
Lineage: Bacteria
Description: partial 16S ribosomal RNA
Rfam family: Bacterial small subunit ribosomal RNA
Source: RNAcentral